GAAGCUUUCAUAGAGAGAGAGAGAAGAGCCUUAGAGGUUCCGACGAGGCAGAGAGGUUUCUUCAGCUGCUGUGGAAAGGUUUCUUUCGAGGAGAAGAGAAAAGUUUCUGCAGCAGCUUUCUAGCUACCCACCUUCCUUCAACGUCACUCUAUUUGAAUCGCAAUGGCUCGCUCUUUCUCAAACGCAAAGGUUCUUUCUGCUUUGAUCACCAAGGCAAUCAACAGGCGAGGAUUUUCAGCGGCUGCUGCUGCACCACAAGGAGUUGUGUCCAGAGGAGGAGCUUCCAUGGUCAAGAAAACUGCGGAGGAGAAGAUUGGAUCCGCCGAGAAGGUCGCAUGGAUUCCAGACCCCCGUACCGGAUGCUAUAGACCAGAGAAUUUAGCGGAGGAGAUUGAUGCGGCCGAGCUAAGAGCUAUGCUGUUGAAGAAGAAUUGAACUAAGAAACAAAUAAAGUCUUUUUCUUGGUUUAUAGACCUUGUAUAAAGAAACAAGAAGGGAUGGAUAUCUCAAGAAUUGGCUGCUGAUCUUUGCGUGUCUUUUGUUUUGUAUCUUUUCUGUGGCUCCUCUGUCCUCUCUGUUUAGGACAAGAAGAAUUUUUACCUUUUAAUUCUUCUUUCACAUUAAUUUUAAUUUAGUGCAUAUGGUUCAUUUUUAUAAGCAAAACUACCAAGAUUAUUUAGUUGAUUCUUGGUGUUCUUUUUCCCAUUUUCCAUCGUCUCCAUUCAAGAACUAGUCCCCUGCCCACCAGGAAAUUUUCAAGAUUCACGUCUAAUGAUAUAUUAAAUAUUAAUAUGC
This 795-nucleotide unclassified non-coding RNA is filed under the name Hevea brasiliensis (rubber tree). The record is from RNAcentral. Lineage: Eukaryota; Viridiplantae; Streptophyta; Magnoliopsida; Malpighiales; Euphorbiaceae.